Molecule: transfer RNA, 82 nt
Filed under: Candidatus Jacksonbacteria bacterium
Lineage: Bacteria; Candidatus Jacksoniibacteriota
Description: tRNA-Leu
Rfam family: tRNA
About the family: Transfer RNA (tRNA) molecules are approximately 80 nucleotides in length. Their secondary structure includes four short double-helical elements and three loops (D, anti-codon, and T loops).
Source: RNAcentral
GCCUCCGUGGUGGAAUUGGUAUACACGCGUGGUUUAGGACCACGUGCCUUACGGCUUGUGGGUUCGAGUCCCUCCGGGGGCA